UUGAUUUGGUCGCCAACGAGUGGCGGACGGGUGAGUAACACGUAGGUAACCUGCCCAGAAGCGGGGGACAACAUUUGGAAACAGAUGCUAAUACCGCAUAACAACGUUGUUCGCAUGAACAACGCUUAAAAGAUGGCUUCUCGCUAUCACUUCUGGAUGGACCUGCGGUGCAUUAGCUUGUUGGUGGGGUAAUGGCCUACCAAGGCGAUGAUGCAUAGCCGAGUUGAGAGACUGAUCGGCCACAAUGGGACUGAGACACGGCCCAUACUCCUACGGGAGGCAGCAGUAGGGAAUCUUCCACAAUGGGCGCAAGCCUGAUGGAGCAACACCGCGUGAGUGAAGAAGGGUUUCGGCUCGUAAAGCUCUGUUGUUAAAGAAGAACACGUAUGAGAGUAACUGUUCAUACGUUGACGGUAUUUAACCAGAAAGUCACGGCUAACUACGUGCCAGCAGCCGCGGUAAUACGUAGGUGGCAAGCGUUAUCCGGAUUUAUUGGGCGUAAAGAGAGUGCAGGCGGUUUUCUAAGUCUGAUGUGAAAGCCUUCGGCUUAACCGGAGAAGUGCAUCGGAAACUGGAUAACUUGAGUGCAGAAGAGGGUAGUGGAACUCCAUGUGUAGCGGUGGAAUGCGUAGAUAUAUGGAAGAACACCAGUGGCGAAGGCGGCUACCUGGUCUGCAACUGACGCUGAGACUCGAAAGCAUGGGUAGCGAACAGGAUUAGAUACCCUGGUAGUCCAUGCCGUAAACGAUGAGUGCUAGGUGUUGGAGGGUUUCCGCCCUUCAGUGCCGGAGCUAACGCAUUAAGCACUCCGCCUGGGGAGUACGACCGCAAGGUUGAAACUCAAAGGAAUUGACGGGGGCCCGCACAAGCGGUGGAGCAUGUGGUUUAAUUCGAAGCUACGCGAAGAACCUUACCAGGUCUUGACAUCUUGCGCCAACCCUAGAGAUAGGGCGUUUCCUUCGGGAACGCAAUGACAGGUGGUGCAUGGUCGUCGUCAGCUCGUGUCGUGAGAUGUUGGGUUAAGUCCCGCAACGAGCGCAACCCCUUGUU
RNAcentral lists this ribosomal RNA (1050 nucleotides) under Limosilactobacillus fermentum. Its description in RNAcentral is "bacterial SSU rRNA". It matches the Rfam family "Bacterial small subunit ribosomal RNA", at positions 74 to 1110 of the family's 1533-position model. The record is from RNAcentral. Lineage: Bacteria; Bacillati; Bacillota; Bacilli; Lactobacillales; Lactobacillaceae.